This 98-nucleotide small RNA is filed under the name Salmonella enterica subsp. enterica serovar Enteritidis. RNAcentral describes it as "partial RtT sRNA". It matches the Rfam family "RtT RNA", at positions 35 to 130 of the family's 130-position model. Rfam says of the family: This family represents a bacterial cis-regulatory element known as RtT RNA. Lineage: Bacteria; Pseudomonadati; Pseudomonadota; Gammaproteobacteria; Enterobacterales; Enterobacteriaceae. The record is from RNAcentral.
ACUAAGGUUCGAUUCGAGCGACAGCGAGAAAGCGUUGCCGCAGGCAACGACCCGAAGGGCGAAGCGCGCAGCGCUGAGUCAUCCUUCCCCCACCACCA